CCAGCACCCCGAGUGGUCGGGACGAUUAUUGGGCCUAAAGCAUCCGUAGCCGGUUUUACAAGUCCUCCGUUAAAUCCAACUGCUUAACAGAUGGGCCGCGGAGGAUACUAUAAGACUAGGAGGCAGGAGAGGCAAGCGGUACUCAGUGGGUAGGGGUAAAAUCCGUUGAUCCAUUGAAGACCACCAGUGGCGAAGGCGGCUUGCCAGAAUGCGCUCGACGGUGAGGGAUGAAAGCUGGGGGAGCAAACCGGAUUAGAUACCCGGGUAGUCCCAGCUGUAAACGAUGCAGACUCGGUGAUGGACUAGCUUAAUGCUGGUCCAGUGCCGCAGGGAAGCCGUUAAGUCUGCCGCCUGGGUAGUACGGUCGCAAGACUG
This 375-nucleotide ribosomal RNA is filed under the name uncultured organism. Its description in RNAcentral is "bacterial SSU rRNA". It matches the Rfam family "Archaeal small subunit ribosomal RNA", at positions 476 to 851 of the family's 1478-position model. The record is from RNAcentral.